UCUCUCAGCCUGUCCUUGGAGGAGAGCUGUUUGAUCCCUUGGUUCUUUUUUUUUUUUUUUUUUUGUGGCCAUCCUCUGAUGUGAUCCAACAGGUCCAUGUCUCUUCUGCACUGAGGACUCUACAUUCUGACCCAAUCUCUAGAUGUGGGAUUGUGCAGAAAAUGGACUCAGAUAAGGGAAGCCUCUUCACAAGUCCUACAGGAGCUGAUGAGAACUUCAGAAAUGAAGUGGGAGCUCCAUACUCCGUGGCACCCUCCUUCUUCAGGGAAAGUAGAAUGAAUCAAUCAGAUGCUGAAGAAGCACUUGUCAAAAUUGGUUUCAGAGACCAAAUUACCAUGGACAAAGUGUUUGCCUGUAGCCCUUGUCAGAAUACGAACCACUCACAGAAAAGGCUUAGGAGUAUCACCACACAAAGUGCUGUUUGGGUGGCCGUACUUGGGAAUGGUGAGAUGCCCGCUCUUGAAACCAAGGUGCACUCAUCCCGUGUUGGAGGCUGGUCCUAAUACGUGCCUGGAAGGAAUCAAGGCUUCAGCCCGAGUGGGAUGGAAUGGACCAUUUCAGCGAUGCAGUGUUUCAGAAGGGAGAAAAGCACGGCAGGCGUAAACUGGAUUUCUGUGGUUGGUAAAGCUGUGCUGAGAAGUGGGCUGACACUUGGACCUGGAAAUGUGUCUGCAGACUCUGCACCCAGAGGAAUGACUUUUCCCUGCAGGUUGGGUUUGUCUAAGGUGAUUUUUUCACGAGGAAAGAUUUGAAAUGCUGUUUGCUAAUGGAAGAUGGAGUGAGGAAAAUCAAGUGAAAGGCACGCUGUGCAUAGCCAGCACAUAGCAUCUGCACCGCUCUCCCCCUGCACAAAGGAGGAGCAGCUCAGCAAGCCUGGCCUGAGCCAUGGAAGGGAGCACACAAACAUCUGGACCAACCCCAGCGGAGCUGCUU
Lagopus muta (rock ptarmigan) is the source of this 933-nucleotide long non-coding RNA. RefSeq lists it as uncharacterized. NCBI's taxonomy places the organism in Eukaryota, Metazoa, Chordata, Aves, Galliformes, Phasianidae. The transcript is spliced from 4 exons. The record is from RefSeq and is a predicted model, not a curated record.